RNAcentral lists this ribosomal RNA (490 nucleotides) under uncultured bacterium. RNAcentral's name for it is "partial 16S ribosomal RNA". It matches the Rfam family "Bacterial small subunit ribosomal RNA", at positions 30 to 507 of the family's 1533-position model. The record is from RNAcentral.
AUUGAACGCUGGCGGCAGGCCUAACACAUGCAAGUCGAACGGUAACAGGAAGCAGCUUGCUGCUUUGCUGACGAGUGGCGGACGGGUGAGUAAUGUCUGGGAAACUGCCUGAUGGAGGGGGAGAACUACUGGAAACGGUAGCUAAUACCGCAUAACGUCGCAAGACCAAAGAGGGGGACCUUCGGGCCUCUUGCCCUCGGAUGUGCCCAGAUGGGAUUAGCUAGUAGGUGGGGUAACGGCUCACCUAGGCGACGAUCCCUAGCUGGUCUGAGAGGAUGACCAGCCACACUGGAACUGAGACACGGUCCAGACUCCUACGGGAGGCAGCAGUGGGGAAUAUUGCACAAUGGGCGCAAGCCUGAUGCAGCCAUGCCGCGUGUAUGAAGAAGGCCUUCGGGUUGUAAAGUACUUUCGGCGGGGAAGAAGGGAGUAAAGUUAAUACCUCGGCUCAUUGACGUUACCCGCAGAAGAAGCACCGGCUAACUCCGUG